AGUGAACGCUGGCGGUAGGCCUAACACAUGCAAGUCGAACGGCAGCACAGUAAGAGCCUGCUCUUACGGGUGGCGAGUGGCGGACGGGUGAGGAAUACAUCGGAAUCUACUUUUUCGUGGGGGAUAACGUAGGGAAACUUACGCUAAUACCGCAUACGACCUACGGGUGAAAGCAUGGGAUCUUCGGACCUUGCGCGAUUGAAUGAGCCGAUGUCGGAUUAGCUAGUUGGCGGGGUAAAGGCCCACCAAGGCGACGAUCCGUAGCUGGUCUGAGAGGAUGAUCAGCCACACUGGAACUGAGACACGGUCAAGACUCCUAAGGGAGGCAGCAGUGGGGAAUAUUGGACAAUGGGCGCAAGCCUGAUCCAGCCAUACCGCGUGGGUGAAGAAGGCCUUCGGGUUGUAAAGCCCUUUUGUUGGGAAAGAAAAGCAGCAGGUUAAUACCCCGCUGUUCUGACGGUACCCAAAGAAUAAGCACCGGCUAACUUCGUG
Molecule: ribosomal RNA, 492 nt
Filed under: uncultured bacterium
Lineage: Bacteria
Description: partial 16S ribosomal RNA
Rfam family: Bacterial small subunit ribosomal RNA
Source: RNAcentral